This 685-nucleotide ribosomal RNA is filed under the name Arthrobacter sp. Its description in RNAcentral is "bacterial SSU rRNA". It matches the Rfam family "Bacterial small subunit ribosomal RNA", at positions 332 to 1016 of the family's 1533-position model. Lineage: Bacteria; Bacillati; Actinomycetota; Actinomycetes; Micrococcales; Micrococcaceae. The record is from RNAcentral.
UAUUUUCCUUCGGGAGGCGGCAGUGGGGAAUUUUGCACAAUGGGCGAAAGCCUGAUGGCAGCGACGCCGCCGUGAGUGGAUACCGUCUUUUGGGUUGUAAACCUCUUUCAGUAGGGAAGAAGCCCUCUUUGGGGGUGACGGUACUUGCAGAAGAAGCGCCGGCUAACUACGUGCCAGCAGCCGCGGUAAUACGUAGGGCGCAAGCGUUAUCCGGAAUUAUUGGGCGUAAAGAGCUCGUAGGCGGUUUGUCGCGUCUGCUGUGAAAGACCGGGGCUCAACUCCGGUUCUGCAGUGGGUACGGGCAGACUAGAGUGCAGUAGGGGAGACUGGAAUUCCUGGUGUAGCGGUGAAAUGCGCAGAUAUCAGGAGGAACACCGAUGGCGAAGGCAGGUCUCUGGGCUGUAACUGACGCUGAGGAGCGAAAGCAUGGGGAGCGAACAGGAUUAGAUACCCUGGUAGUCCAUGCCGUAAACGUUGGGCACUAGGUGUGGGGGACAUUCCACGUUUUCCGCGCCGUAGCUAACGCAUUAAGUGCCCCGCCUGGGGAGUACGGCCGCAAGGCUAAAACUCAAAGGAAUUGACGGGGGCCCGCACAAGCGGCGGAGCAUGCGGAUUAAUUCGAUGCAACGCGAAGAACCUUACCAAGGCUUGACAUGGACCGGAAAGACCUGAAAUCAUGGCCCCC